Long non-coding RNA from Panicum virgatum (switchgrass), 161 nucleotides. RefSeq lists it as uncharacterized. Lineage: Eukaryota; Viridiplantae; Streptophyta; Magnoliopsida; Poales; Poaceae. The transcript is spliced from 2 exons. The record is from RefSeq and is a predicted model, not a curated record.
ACCCCUUCUUUCUCCUCUCUGUCUCUCGGUGUUCCUCUCCCUCUCCUUCUCUAAGGUAAGGUUCUAGGGAUGAAUUCUUGAGUCUUGUAAGGAGAUUUUCGUGGGAAAGGAGGCCCUUCCCUCCUUGUGCCCUCCGGGGAGUUGAAUUUGUUUCAAUCUCA